AGGACGAACGCUGGCGGCGUGCUUAACACAUGCAAGUCGAGCGGUGAUCCUCCUUCGGGAGGUGAGCAGCGGCGAACGGGUGAGUAACACGUGGGCAACCUGCCCCUCACACUGGGAUAACCUCGGGAAACCGGGGCUAAUACCGGAUAUGACCUCGAGCGGCAUCUCUUGAGGUGGAAAGCUCCGACGGUGAGGGAUGGGCCCGCGGCCUAUCAGCUUGUUGGUGGGGUAAUGGCCUACCAAGGCGACGACGGGUAGCCGGCCUGAGAGGGCGACCGGGCCACGACUGGGACUGAGACACGGCCCAGACUCCUACGGGAGGCAGCAGUGGGGAAUAUUGCGCAAUGGGCGAAAGCCUGACGCAGCGACGCCGCGUGAGGGAUGAAGGCCUUCGGGUUGUAAACCUCUUUCAGCAGGGACGAAGCGAAAGUGACGGUACCUGCAGAAGAGCACCGGCUAACUACGUGCCAGCAGCCGC
RNAcentral lists this ribosomal RNA (478 nucleotides) under uncultured bacterium. RNAcentral describes it as "SSU rRNA". It matches the Rfam family "Bacterial small subunit ribosomal RNA", at positions 26 to 518 of the family's 1533-position model. The record is from RNAcentral.